GUGAGUCAUCGAAUCUUUGAACGCACAUUGCGCCCUGUGGUAUUCCGCAGGGCAUGCCUGUUCGAGCGUCAUUUCAACCCUCAAGCCUCGCUUGGUGUUGGGCCCUGCCCGCCGCGGCCGGCCCUAAAGACAGUGGCGGCGCCGCCUGGCCCUCAGCGUAGUACAGCUCUCGCUCCAGGGUCCGGCGGCAGCCUGCCAGAACCCCCCAACUCUGUGGUUGACCUCGGAUCAGGUAGGGAUACCCGCUGAACUUAAGCAUAUCAAUAAGCGGAGGA
RNAcentral lists this unclassified non-coding RNA (275 nucleotides) under Oidiodendron sp. Its description in RNAcentral is "partial contains 5.8S ribosomal RNA, internal transcribed spacer 2, and large subunit ribosomal RNA". The stretch from base 1 to 71 matches the Rfam family "5.8S ribosomal RNA", at positions 84 to 154 of the family's 154-position model. The record is from RNAcentral. Lineage: Eukaryota; Fungi; Ascomycota; Leotiomycetes; Myxotrichaceae.